UGGCUCAGAGGUUAAAGCAUCUGCCUGCAAUGCAGGAGACCUGGGUUCGAUCCCUG
This is a non-coding RNA of Bos taurus (domestic cattle), 56 nucleotides long. The record is from Rfam. NCBI's taxonomy places the organism in Eukaryota, Metazoa, Chordata, Mammalia, Artiodactyla, Bovidae.